Molecule: ribosomal RNA, 393 nt
Filed under: Clostridioides difficile
Lineage: Bacteria; Bacillati; Bacillota; Clostridia; Peptostreptococcales; Peptostreptococcaceae
Description: bacterial SSU rRNA
Rfam family: Bacterial small subunit ribosomal RNA
Source: RNAcentral
UUUUAUUUGAGAGUUUGAUCCUGGCUCAGGAUGAACGCUGGCGGCGUGCCUAACACAUGCAAGUUGAGCGAUUUACUUCGGUAAAGAGCGGCGGACGGGUGAGUAACGCGUGGGUAACCUACCCUGUACACACGGAUAACAUACCGAAAGGUAUGCUAAUACGGGAUAAUAUAUUUGAGAGGCAUCUCUUGAAUAUCAAAGGUGAGCCAGUACAGGAUGGACCCGCGUCUGAUUAGCUAGUUGGUAAGGUAAAGGCUUACCAAGGCGACGAUCAGUAGCCGACCUGAGAGGGUGAUCGGCCACAUUGGAACUGAGACACGGUCCAAACUCCUACGGGAGGCAGCAGUGAGGAAUAUUGCACAAUGGGCGAAAGCCUGAUGCAGCAACGCCGCG